UGACCACUCCGCUUCGGGAGUUGAGGCCAUACGGACAGCCGGGUCAAAUGCCGA
Molecule: small RNA, 54 nt
Filed under: Ruminococcus flavefaciens
Lineage: Bacteria; Bacillati; Bacillota; Clostridia; Eubacteriales; Oscillospiraceae
Description: Streptococcus sRNA SpF59 (ldcC RNA)
Rfam family: Streptococcus sRNA SpF59 (ldcC RNA)
Source: RNAcentral